This 1006-nucleotide long non-coding RNA is filed under the name Nicotiana benthamiana. Its description in RNAcentral is "long non-coding RNA (NBEN_LNC021342)". Lineage: Eukaryota; Viridiplantae; Streptophyta; Magnoliopsida; Solanales; Solanaceae. The record is from RNAcentral.
CUCUAAAGGCUUUCAAAACUAUUCUUCUAGUCCAAAAGGGGACUGUGUCAGAAUAGCCAAUGGCUCUCUAACUCCUGUCUGUGGAACAUGCUCUGUUUUUUGUACACCUAAUAUUACGUUGUCAUCCGUUCUUCAUGUACCUGAGUUUCCCGUUAACUUAUUAUCCGUUAACGCCAUCACCAAACAACUAAAAUGUAGUGUUGAGUUCUUUCUUGAUUAUUGUGUGUUUCAGGACCUUCAAACAAGGAAGAUGAUUGGCAGUGGUAGAUUGCACGAUGACUUAUAUUGGAUUGAUGGAACUCAAGCCUUUGGUCAAGCCUUUUUUGGAGGAAAUAAGAGGUCGAGUUUUUUCCUCCUUCACGGUGGUUGUCCUCAUUAAAGCCACUAUAUACCAGUAGUGUGAAAAAACUAACACCACUACAAGCUUCCUCAGUCGAAUUUUUUAAGUUUCUAGUGAAUAUUUCUGUUUUUUUUGCUGCUUAUUUCCAGUAGGUCACCUUUUUUCUCUUGGAGUUCAACGUUAAUUUCCGGAUUAGUAAUUAAGAAAUAAUGGGGGACACCAAAUAAAUAGAUAAUUCUCUUUCACAUAUGGUUAAUUCUGUUUCACAAAUCAGCACAGUUAAGUUGGAUGGGGCUGGUACAUAUCUUGCUUGGUCAAGGUCUUGUUUGCUUUUUAUUAAGUCCAGAAAGUUGCUUAGUUAUAUUACUGGAGAAAACAAAGCACCUGUUGUGACUGAUGCUAACUAUAGUUAGUGGGAUUCAGAUAACUCUCUAGUUAUGACAUGGCCAGUUAUGUUACUGGAGAAAAGAAAGCACCGGUUGUGACUGAUGCUAACUAUAAUCAGUGGGAUUCAGAUAACUCUCUAGUUAUGACAUGGCUUUUGAAUAUUAUGCACCCUCGAAUUUCUAAACAGUAUUUGUUGCUUGAUACUGUUGAAAAGAUCUGGAAUUCUACUAAGCGCACUUACUCUCGUAAGGGAAAUGAUGCUCAGGUCUUUGAAAUUCG